UCGAGGAUAUUUAGCAAUGGGCGAAAGCCUGACUAUGUGACGCCGCGUGAGGGAUGAAGGUUUUCGGAUCGUAAACCUCUUUCGAUGGGAAAGAAACCCCGCAGUUAAAUAAAUUGCGGGGUUGACGGUACCUAGAGAAGAAGCCACGGCCAACUCCGUGCCAGCAGCCGCGGUAAUACGGGGGUGGCAAGCGUUACUCGGAUUUAUUGGGUGUAAAGGGCAGGUAGGCGAUUUGCCAAGUUAGAAGUGAAAUCCUUUGGCUCAACCAAAGAACUGCUUCUAAAACUGGCUUAAUUGAGGCUAAAAGAGGAGAGCGGAAUUCCCGGUGUAAGAGUGAAAUCUGUAGAUAUCGGGAGGAACACCAGUGGCGAAGGCGGCUCUCUGGUUUAUGCCUGACGCU
Molecule: ribosomal RNA, 400 nt
Filed under: uncultured bacterium
Lineage: Bacteria
Description: bacterial SSU rRNA
Rfam family: Bacterial small subunit ribosomal RNA
Source: RNAcentral